UAGGGAAUCUUCGGCAAUGGGGGGAACCCUGACCGAGCAACGCCGCGUGAGUGAAGAAGGUUUUCGGAUCGUAAAGCUCUGUUGUUAAGGAAGAACGAGUGUGAGAAUGGAAAGUUCAUACUGUGACGGUACUUAACCAGAAAGGGACGGCUAACUACGUGCCAGCAGCCGCGGUAAUACGUAUGUCCCGAGCGUUGUCCGGAUUUAUUGGGCGUAAAGCGAGCGCAGGCGGUUAGAUAAGUCUGAAGUUAAAGGCAGUGGCUCAACCAUUGUAGGCUUUGGAAACUGUUUAACUUGAGUGCAGAAGGGGAGAGUGGAAUUCCAUGUGUAGCGGUGAAAUGCGUAGAUAUAUGGAGGAACACCGGUGGCGAAAGCGGCUCUCUGGUCUGUAACUGACGCUGGGGCUCGAAAGCGUGGGGAGCGAACAGG
RNAcentral lists this ribosomal RNA (429 nucleotides) under Bacteroidota bacterium. RNAcentral's name for it is "Bacteroidetes bacterium partial 16S ribosomal RNA". It matches the Rfam family "Bacterial small subunit ribosomal RNA", at positions 355 to 776 of the family's 1533-position model. The record is from RNAcentral. Lineage: Bacteria; Pseudomonadati; Bacteroidota.